UGAUAAUCUGUGCCGAGACAACCAUCU
This 27-nucleotide non-coding RNA is filed under the name Rattus norvegicus (Norway rat). Lineage: Eukaryota; Metazoa; Chordata; Mammalia; Rodentia; Muridae. The record is from RNAcentral.